RNAcentral lists this ribosomal RNA (252 nucleotides) under uncultured bacterium. RNAcentral describes it as "partial 16S ribosomal RNA". It matches the Rfam family "Bacterial small subunit ribosomal RNA", at positions 526 to 779 of the family's 1533-position model. The record is from RNAcentral.
CGUAGGUCACAAGCGUUGUCCGGAAUUACUGGGUGUAAAGGGAGCGCAGGCGGGAAGACAAGUUGGAAGUGAAAUCCAUGGGCUCAACCCAUGAACUGCUUUCAAAACUGUUUUCUUGAGUAGUGCAGAGGUAGGCGGAAUUCCCGGUGUAGCGGUGGAAUGCGUAGAUAUCGGGAGGAACACCAGUGGCGAAGGCGGCCUACUGGGCACCAACUGACGCUGAGGCUCGAAAGUGUGGUAGCAAACAGGAUU